This 245-nucleotide ribosomal RNA is filed under the name uncultured bacterium. RNAcentral describes it as "partial 16S ribosomal RNA". It matches the Rfam family "Bacterial small subunit ribosomal RNA", at positions 15 to 252 of the family's 1533-position model. The record is from RNAcentral.
GAUCCUGGCUCAGGGUGAACGCUAGCUACAGGCUUAACACAUGCAAGUCGAGGGGCAGCAUGACUUAGCUUGCUAAGUUUGAUGGCGACCGGCGCACGGGUGAGUAACACGUAUCCAACCUGCCGAUGACUCGGGGAUAGCCUUUCGAAAGAAAGAUUAAUACCCGAUGGCAUAGUUCUUCCGCAUGGUAGAACUAUUAAAAGAAUUUCGGUCAUCGAUGGGGAUGCGUUCCAUUAGGUUGUUGG